This 466-nucleotide ribosomal RNA is filed under the name uncultured bacterium. Its description in RNAcentral is "partial 16S ribosomal RNA". It matches the Rfam family "Bacterial small subunit ribosomal RNA", at positions 28 to 507 of the family's 1533-position model. The record is from RNAcentral.
GAUGAACGCUGGCGGCGUGCUUAACACAUGCAAGUCGAACGAUGAAGCCCAGCUUGCUGGGUGGAUUAGUGGCGAACGGGUGAGUAACACGUGAGUAACCUGCCCUUGACUCUGGGAUAAGCCCGGGAAACUGGGUCUAAUACCGGAUAGGAGCGCCUGUCGCAUGACGGGUGUUGGAAAGAUUUUUCGGUCAUGGAUGGACUCGCGGCCUAUCAGCUUGUUGGUGAGGUAAUGGCUCACCAAGGCGACGACGGGUAGCCGGCCUGAGAGGGGGACCGGCCACACUGGGACUGAGACACGGCCCAGACUCCUACGGGAGGCAGCAGUGGGGAAUAUUGCACAAUGGGCGGAAGCCUGAUGCAGCGACGCCGCGUGAGGGAUGACGGCCUUCGGGUUGUAAACCUCUUUCAGUAGGGAAGAAGCGAAAGUGACGGUACCUGCAGAAGAAGCACCGGCUAACUACGUG